Molecule: ribosomal RNA, 274 nt
Filed under: uncultured bacterium
Lineage: Bacteria
Description: partial 16S ribosomal RNA
Rfam family: Bacterial small subunit ribosomal RNA
Source: RNAcentral
CCCGCCGGCGACCGGCGCACGGGUGAGUAACACGUAUGAAACCUGCCCGUAGCAGGGGGAUAAGCGGAAGAAAUUCCGUCUAAUACCGCGUAACAACCCAUGGAGGCAUCUCUGUGGGUUUAAAGGAAGCGAUUCCGGCUACGGAUGGUCAUGCGUCGCAUUAGCUUGUUGGCGGGGUAACGGCCCACCAAGGCGACGAUGCGUAGGGGUUCUGAGAGGAAGGUCCCCCACACCGGUACUGAGACACGGACCAGACUCCUACGGAAGGCAGCAG